UGGGGAAUCUUGGACAAUGGGGGCAACCCUGAUCCAGCCAUGCCGCGUGAGUGAUGAAGGCCUUAGGGUCGUAAAGCUCUUUCGCCUGUGAAGAUAAUGACGGUAGCAGGUAAAGAAACCCCGGCUAACUCCGUGCCAGCAGCCGCGGUAAUACGGAGGGGGUUAGCGUUGUUCGGAAUUACUGGGCGUAAAGCGCACGUAGGCGGACCAGAAAGUUGGGGGUGAAAUCCCGGGGGCUCAACCCCGGAACUGCCUCCAAAACUAUUGGUCUAGAGUUCGAGAGAGGUGAGUGGAAUUCCAAGUGUAGAGGUGAAAUUCGUAGAUAUUUGGAGGAACACCAGUGGCGAAGGCGGCUCACUGGCUCGAUACUGACGCUGAGGUGCGAAAGUGUGGGGAGCAAAACAGGAUUAGAUACCCUGGUAGUCCACACCGUAAAACGAUGAAUGCCAGUCGUCGGGUAGCAUGCUAUUCGGUGACACACCUAACGGAUUAAGCAUUCCGGCCUGGGGAGUACGGUCGCAAGAUUAAAACUCAAAUGAAUUG
Molecule: ribosomal RNA, 543 nt
Filed under: uncultured bacterium
Lineage: Bacteria
Description: bacterial SSU rRNA
Rfam family: Bacterial small subunit ribosomal RNA
Source: RNAcentral